UGCAUCUUCCAGGCAU
This 16-nucleotide unclassified non-coding RNA is filed under the name synthetic construct. The record is from RNAcentral.